RNA transcript from Pangasianodon hypophthalmus (striped catfish), 12099 nucleotides. It is a transcript of the gene named sperm acrosome associated 6, with no coding region annotated. NCBI's taxonomy places the organism in Eukaryota, Metazoa, Chordata, Actinopteri, Siluriformes, Pangasiidae. The record is from RefSeq and is a predicted model, not a curated record. The transcript is spliced from 12 exons.
UUUUCUUGAUACUAUCAUAUUCAAACCCAAAUUAUGAUAGUAUAAAUAUACGCAAUUGCCAUGUUGCAGGACAGAUGUUUCAGAGAUGCCAAAUAGCAAGUUACAGUUGUCAUUGUUACAGAAUGAUAUCAAAUUGCAAAUAACAAAAUGAGGAAAAAAGGUACACCAAAAACAAAUUUUGCUGAAUGAGCAGUUCCAAUCAGAAUGGCCCCAACUGACUUACAGACAGAGAGACGAUGGACUGAUGAACCGCUUGUCCUCCACCAUGGGCUCCUGAAUACUAUUGAUUGCCUUGUCUCAGAGGAGACAGAAGAAUGCAUUAGCACCCAAGUUGCUCACUGCCACUGGAAACAUAUCAACUUCGUGUAUUAGGCACCCUGUCUGGUUUCUAUGGUGACGGAUGGAGGAUGGACGAAGUAAUGAGUGAAAAAUUGGGGGGUGUAUGGGAGGAGAAGGAAAAGGAGGAAUAGGGGGGUUGGGGGAUAUGGGAUGCAAUGGAACUGCCUUGGGGCAUAUCGUCUUUCUUGCUCACCAUCUUUCUUACACACACAAAUAGACUGGCUGGUUUCUAAUCUAUACAUUAUACCUACUUCAUAAAGACAAAAUGUGCUUUACCCUUUUGUGUGCUGUCAUGUUGUAAUUUGCAGUGGUCAUGGUCAUGAGAUUCCUCCUCCAUUGUUUCAUUUGAUUAUCUGCUAAAUUAUAGACUUUCUUUUAAUGUUUGGCUAAUAUGUUAUCAAAUUCUAGUCUCCCACAGAAAUGCAUGCACACCUGCCACUACAAGCACAAACCCUGACACAUCUGUGUUCCUCACUCAUUCUCCCUCUGUCUCCUCUCCCUAUCUUGGUUUGCAGAAAAACAGAAAAAAAUGGUGCAUUGUGAGAGGGUUCUGAGACAAUGAGUUAAAGACAUGGCUAGCAGAGAAAAGUAGAUCAAUGUGUUCACCUUUCCUCUUCUAGCUGCUCUGUUUUAGAACAAGAAGUUGCAUUGUAUAAUUUACACAUCCACAACACAACAAAUUUAACUUUGUUCUCUUGAACAUUGUACUUUUUGGAUGUUGUACUCUUUAGUUUUGUUAAAACAUGAAUCAAAUGCAGGCUGACUUUAUCCCUUAUCCCUACCUGUAACAUUUAAAAAUUUCAGUAAUUAAAAUCCAAAAUACUUUGUGAUUUAAACAUCACAGAGAUUUUGAAGAAAAGUUCACUUACUCCUUGAGCAUAACAUCAUUAUUCUGCAGAACUCUUUCAUCUGUAGGUUUUUGCAUUAUGAUGAAAUAGUGAUAGAAAGUUCUAAGGAUUUCAAAUGUAAACACAAACAAAUAAGCAAUGUUUGGAUUUGUUGUCAGGUUACUAUUUUUAAUGUCAUUUUUUUGCGUAGGAUUAAGUUGUUACCAGUGCUUUAUAGAUCCAGAUGACAGUGUCCGUCUGUGCUGGGGUCACAUUCUCAGUGAAUAUAACAUUCGUAAUAUAGAUGCCUGUUUCAAAACUCUGGAUAGAAUAUUCAACAACGAUCCAAGCGUAAUCAAGGCAGCUAAAGUAGGAAGAGGCUAUGACACAGUACUAAAAGAGAUUUUGAGGGCUGAAAUCAUGCCUAUUGUGGAAGAAUUUCACCAGAAUAUGAAUAAUGACACAGUGUAUGAAGUUAGGUUGCAAGCUGCUGCAGACACUUUCAUCACAAUGGCCUCUGGUCUGCCUAGAGCUUCUGGAUGUUUCCCCCCUUGUGGUUUUCAGGCUCACGGCACUGUCUAUAACUGCAUGACUUGUCAGUAUGACUCAUGUGAAUUUCCCCUGGAUUGCCCAUUGCAGGAAAUCACUGUGGAGGAAAACAACAGAACUCAGAUGUGGUGUCAUGUGCCAUUUAUUUUGCCAAGUGACAUACAGAUAGUUUGGAGGUAUGCAGAGAUCAAGACACUGUUGAUGGAUCAGUUUGAGGAGGUGACAGUUGGCAUGGAUAAGCUCUUCUCCAUACCAUCGGCCCGACUGGAGCACUCGGGCACAUAUCAGUGCGAGAUCUUUUCUCAGGAACGCUCACUGGUCCGCAUCUACUAUCAUCUUACAGUUGUUCCUAAUGAGGUAGUUGGUCAUGCAGAACUGCAGGAUGUGUUUGAUAAGGCUCUCCUACCUGCAGGACAGUUCCUACUUUCGGCCUCUAUACCUCCAUUUUCACUGCUGAGGCUGCCUAGUCCAGACCUCCUCACCAUCUGUCUGACAUCACUGCUAUUGCUGCUGUUCCUCACUCUAGGACGAUGAGGAGGACGAUUCCUCAAGCUGUCGCCGGCACCCCAGACUGUCUGCCUGCUGCCUGCAGAGCCCCUUCGGUCCUACCACUGCCACACGGCCAUUUCUGCACCGUGUCCUUUCCAGGGAGGACCACAACCCUGAUAUCCAGCACCAGACUCACUCUCCCACAGUGCCACCCACUUACACUUCCCCCAUCUGUGAAUGAAGAGCAAUUGGUUCACCCCAAUUCCCUCUCUCUUGUGGUUCAUGCUCAGCCCUUCGCACAUGCAAAGCACUAUACUGGUGGAGAAUGCGGGAGUGAGCAUGGACCCCAGCCACAGCACCACAAUGGAUGUUCUCCAGCACCUGCUACAGACCAGCCUCCAGCAGCAGGCUAUGACCCAGGAACUAGCCCAGGGGCUAUGGCUCACCACCCAAGAGCUGCUGGCUCUCCAAUAGGGCCACUCAGCCACUGCCAUCCCUCUCCCCGACCCCUGCCAAGAGGCCUCACGCCUCCUCACCAAGAUGACGGGGGACAAUGAUGUUGAAGCCUACCUCCACACCUUCGAGCAUACGGUGUUCCGGGAAGGGAGGCCAGAGGAAGAUUGGGCUUGCAUCCUGAUCCCUUUACCUCUCUGGGCCCAGCUGGCCUACCAUUCCAUGGACCCCCCUGAGGCCGCCAAAUAUGACCAGCUGAAGGGCGAGAUCUUAACAUGCUGCGGGCUCUCCUCGACCAGUGCAGCGGCAGAGUUUCAUCACUGGGCCUAAAACCCCAAGAGCAAUCCUAGAGGUCAAAUGGACCAUCUGCUCCGCAUCACCAAGAGGUGGCUCCAGCCCAAUCGGUGUACUGCUACGGAGGUCGUCGAGCGGGUGUUGAUGGAUCGCUUCCUAAGGGCUGUGCCACCCAAAGAAAGGAAAGUCUUGGGCAUGCGGGGAUCUCAAAACCCCGAGAGAUGCUAGAGGCUUUAGCCACCUUGCCCUAGCCACCCUGGAACUUGGCAGGGGUGAGUGGUGUGAGUUCAUCAGGCCACUGCCUACCUGGCACCUAGCCCCACCAUGCUGCGGGGAGAGGAGGCUGACUAACCGCCCCACAAGACAAGCCCAUGCCUACUGAACUGGACACCACCACCACCAAAGUGGAAAACCCCUGGCUAGACAACUGCGCUGUCCAUAAGGUGCCCCUGCCCUGCUCACCAAUGGUUCAGUUUUGAGUCGGUCGGUCUCUGCUCUUAUGGACUUGGGAAGUACUGUAACCGUCGUCUGCCCUUCUCUCCUCACCAACCCACCAGCGGAGAAGGGUGUACAUAUACAUGGCGAUGUCCGGGAGGUUCUGGCCACCAGGGUCCUCAUGCAAAGUCAGGCCGGGGAGUGGUCAAUCCUGGUUGGCCAAAAGAAAGGAAAGUCUUGGGCUACCUGAGCUACCAGUGCCCCUUCUUCUCGGGCGAGACUGGCCUUCACACUUUGCCAGGGAGGGGGAUUUUGGAAGAGAGCAAAAGGGCGAUGAUCGGCUAAAGCACUGCUGGAGCCAGGUGCAGAUCAUCGAGGGAGUCCAACAAGACCCAGACCAGUGCCUGCUGGCAUCCUACUUCCUGGUCUGCAUGGGCCUCCUCUACUACCACACGGAAUGGAGAGGACAACCCUGUGACCUCCUGGUGGUCCCCCACUCCAGAACGCCGUCCCUCCUGCACCUGGCCCACUCCCACACUCUGGGUGGCCUCCUGGGGGCCUGAAACACCCUGGAAAAACUAUGUGACCGCAGAGGACGGCCUACAACCGUCCAGCCCAGCCCCAGGAAUUCCAGCCAGGAGACCAGGUCCUCCUCCUUCCCAGCACCUCCAGUAAGUUCCUGGCCCACUGGCAAUGCCCGUACAUGGUGCUCGAGAGGGUGGAUCCCAUGAACUACCACCUGCAGCAACCAGGUAAGAGAGCAGAUACCCAGCUUUACCAUGUUAACCUGCUGAAGAAAUGGACUGACCCAGCACCUCUGGUGUCUGCUUUCAUGGGUCUUCCCACAGAUCCCCCAGAGGGUACCUUGGUCCACUGAGGAGACGAGCUUACCCCAGCCCAGAGCCAGGAGCUCUUGGAGGUGGUGAACCAGUUUUUGGAUGUCUUCUCCUCCACCCCUGGCCUGACCCAUCUGGUCCACCAUGACAUCAAGACCCCUCUGCCAGGUCCACCAGCAGCCCGUCGUCAGGCUAUUGAGGAGGAGGUCAGCCGGAUGCUCCAUGACCGGGUCAUCAAGGAGUCCACUAGCCCCUGGUCCAGCCUCAUCGCCAUGGUGCCCAAGCCUGACAGAAGCAUCCAGCCGUGCAGUGACUUCUGGCGGCUCAACCAGGUGUGGGACUUCAACAGUUACCCCUUCCCUAGGGUGGAUGACCUGGUGGAGUGAAUGGGGAGGGCCCGAUUCAUCUCCACCAUCGACCUCACAAAGGGAUAUUGGCAAGUGGCCCUCAGUCCAGAGGCCAAACCAAAGACAGUCUUCUCUACCUCCUGCAGGCACUGGCAGUACCGGGUCCUCCCCAUUGGGUCUCCCCUCCCCAGCAACAUUCCAGAGGUUAAUGGACAUUGUCCUGUGGCCCCACCACCAGUACACUGCGGCCUACCUAGAUGAUGUGGUGAUACAUUCCUCCACCUGGUCCGACCACCUGCACCAUCUUAGGGAGGGCAUGAGUGAGCUUCAGAAAGCUGGGCUAACCACCAACCCCUGAAAAUGUCAUCUGUGGCUCACGGAGGCACAAUACCUUGGGUACCGCAUCGGCAGAGGGCUCCUCAUGCCACAAAAAAUAAAAAAAAAAACACAACCGACCACCAAAAAAUAUGUGCGUGCUUUCUUGGGGUUGGCAGGGUAUUACAGAUGUUUUGUGCCCAACUUCUCCUCGAUUGCCUCUCCCCUCUCAGACCUCACAAGGAAGUCGGAAGCUGACCCCUGCCGAAAAGAAGUAUGCCACAGUGGAGAGAGAGAGGCCCUGACUAUCAAGUGGGCCAGUAGAGGAGCUCCACUACUACCUGGCAGGUGUCCCUUUACUCUGGUCACAGACCACGCUCCCCUCCAAUGGAUAGCCAGUGCUAAGGACUCCAACACUCGGGUAACAUGGCGCCACUUCAGCACCACCUGUGUUGUGGAGAACACAGGAGCGUGUGGCUGCCAGGGGCGGGGUAAUCAGGCAUGGCUGGCAGCUAAUAAGGGCAGUGGCAGCUCCCUACCAUCUUGGAGACGAUGGUGGGAGUAUAAAAACGGCCUGCAGCCAGGGAAGACAGACACACUUGGGCUUAUGCCCGUGACUAACCCUCUUCUCUGUUUAUUUUCCCUAGACGAUGAGGAGGACAAUUCCCCAAACUGUUGCUGGCUUCCUGCUGCCUGCAGAGCCCCUUUGGUCCCGCUGCCACAGCCGUUCCUGCACCUCACCCUGUCCAGGGAGGACCACAACCCCGAAAUCCAGCACCAGACUCACUCUCCCACCCUGCCACCCACUUACCGUUUCCACACCUGAGAAUAAAGAGCACUUGGUUCACCCCAAUUCUCUCUCUCUUGUGGUUCAUGCUCAGCCCUUCGCAAAUGCAAAGCACUACUGUUUUCUAUGACUCUCAUAAUGUUGGGGCUUCCAAUGUAGUAAGGUUGGUCACUAUUAUACAGAAGAAGCUCUGUGAGCUGUCUAAUGAUGCCAAGUAAGACCAAAUGCAUGUAGUCUGGAACAAAGCCACAAAUAAUAUCAAAACAUGUUUAUAAGGGGAGAGGGACCCUUUACUCCUCUCAUACUACUGUUGUUAGCUAAUGCAAGUUCCAUAUCAGGCAACAUUACUUUGGCAUCUCUGGCUGCAUAUUCAGUUGUUGUUGCUGUAUACUUCACCUGGCGGUCUACUAGGGUACCAGGAUGCAGGCAGAAUCCACAAAGUACCCAUUAAAUUGUGUGGUGUAUGGCUGGUCUGGCUUUUGAAUCCACACAACGACAACAACACAAGUUUACUAGUUAUGCAUUCUUCUAUUCUCCAAGUCACACCUUUGUACACUAGAUCUUUGGCCUGAUCAACAAAAAGGUUUGAGAAAAAUAUGCAUAACUGGUUCCUGGGCCCCAAACCAGAGGGCUGCCAACAUUCAAUUCAAUUCAAUUCAAUUUUAUUUGUAUAGCACUUUUAACAAUGAACAUUGUUACAAAGCAGCUUUAUAGAAAUAAAGGGAUUCACAAAAAAAUAUAUAUUGUAAAUAUGUGAAUUUAUCCCUAAUGGACAAGCCAGAGGAAAAACUCCCUAAGACAAUAUGAGGAAGAAACAGAAGACAGGCUCAAAAGGAAGCCCAUCCUCAUCUGGGUGCAACAGAUAGUGCAAUUAUAUAUAAAUCCCUUCUAUUUUUGUGUACUAAAUGGACAAAUAGCGCAGUUGUGCAACCAGUAAAUUCAUCAUAGUUUUCACAAGAUGUCUGGUUGGUUAAAAUCUAUCCACUGUCCACUGAUGGAGUCCUGAGUACGAUGGUGCUCAGGGCAACUGCAGCCCCAAAGCCACUACAGCAAUCGCAGUCCCAAGCCAUUACAGUACAGCUCCCCAUAUGUGAUCCCCAAGCCAUCUCCACAGCCCCCAGGUGGCACCAUCCCCAGCAAUCCAAACAGUUCUUCAGGCCAUCCAUAUGGGGCCACCCCCAGCAGCAGCGAGCGAACUCAACCGAUGAGAACUCCAACCAGAAGGAGGGCAUCAGUAUGGGUCAGGCAGGUCUGGGGAGCAGAAGGGGCCAGGAUCACUGGCAUCUCAGAAGUAGCAUAUGUAGCUCGACAGAGAGUGAGGGAGAGGGAGAUGGAGAGAGAGGGAGAGAUUGUCAGGUAAGCUUUUGUCCUCUAAUGGUUAAGGACAAUGUACUUUGCAUGCAUAGUGCAAGCAGGGACUCCGGCAAGACUAGCUGUGACAGUAUUACUAAAAGGGAGAGCCAGAAGCUAACACAGACAUGAGGGCACCCUGGGACAUAAGGCAGCCAGCCACUCCACCGUCGACAGACCUGAGUGAACGUGUGAGAGUGGGGGGGCGACAGCAUCCAAACAUCCCACUUCACCACAACACUAUGCCUGUGAACCCUCCAGACCUGCCCUGGUACCUAAGAAAAAACUAUUCACAAAAGGCUUGACUAAACAAAUAUGUUUUCAGCCUAGACUUAAACACUGAGACUGUGUCUGAGCCCCGAACACUAAGCAGAAGGCUGUUCCAUAACUGUGGGGCUUUGUAAGAUAAAGCUCUACCCCCAGAUGUAGCCCGCACUAUUCAAGGUACCAACAUUAGCCUGCACCUUUUGCUCUAUGUAGGUAUGGUGGAUCAUAAAAGACCAAAAGUUUGCUCAGGUACUGAGGCGCGAGACCAUUUAGUGCUUUGUAGGUCAAUAGUAGUAUUUUAUAAUCGAUACGAAAUUUGAUUGGGAGCCAAUGCAGUAACAAAAGCAUGAACUAAUUUUUCUGCAUCGUGUAGUGAUAUUUCUUAUUUUAGCAAUAUUUCUGAGAUGAAAGAAAGCAAUCCUAGUGAUAUUAUCUACAUGAGCUUCAAAAGAAAGACUAGAAUCGAUAAUCACACCAAGGUCUUUUACUGCUGCACAUGAUGAAACAUAAAUGCCAUCCAGAGUUAUUAUGUAAUCAGAAAGCUUACUUCUAACUGCAUGUGGUCCUAGUACAAGUACUUCUGUCUUGUCAGAAUUAAGUAAGAGAAAGUUAAUAAGCAUCCAGUUUCUAAUGCCUUUUACACAUUCCGCAACUUUAUGUCAUCUGGCUUUGCUGAAACAUACAACUGUGUGUCAUCAGCGUAACAUUGGAAGCUAAUACCAUGUUUACGAAUAAUUUUGCCCAGAGGUAGCAUAUAUAAAGAAAAGAGCAGUGGGCCUAAAACAGAGCCUUGCGGGACAUCAAACUUUACCUUAGUAUGCGAAGAGAAGUCACCAUUUAUGUUUACAAACUGAUAAUGAUCAGUCAAAUAAGACCUGAGCCAGGAAAGGGCCAUUCCCUUAAUGCCUACUACAUUUUCUAGUCUAUCGAGGAUAAUAGCAUGAUCAAUGGUAUCAAAAGCUACACUAAGGUCCAGCAGCACAAGCAAGGAGACACAACCCUGAUCAGAGGCCAGUAGUAAGUCAUUUACCACUUUAACCAGUACUGUCUCUGUGCUAUGAUGAAGCCUAAAUCCUGACUGAUACAUUUCCUGAAUGUUAUUCCUAUGUAAAUAUGAGCAUAGCUGCUGUGCUACAACAUUUUCUAGGAUCAUGGAGAUAAAGGGGAGGUUUGAUAUUGGUCUAUAGUUAGACAGCUGACAGGGGUCAAGGUCAGGUUUUUUAAUCAAGGGCUUGAUAACUGCUAAUUUAAAAGAUUUAGGUACAUAGCCAAUGCUAAGGGAAGAAUUGAUUAUCUUUAAAAGAGGUUUGAUUGUUUCAGGAAUUAUCUGUUUGAAGAAACAUGUUGGUAAGGGAUCUAGUCUACAAGUUGAUGAUUCUGAUGGUGAAAUUAUUGAGAUUAGUUCAGUCUCUCAAAGGGGAGUAAAAUAUUCUAAUCGUUGAUCUGAUAUUAUUAUAUUAUCAUAUACAGGGUUAGUUAUAAAACUGUCCGGUUUUAAAUUAAUAGACUGAAUUUUUUUGCCUGAUUACCAUUGAAAAAAUUCAUGAAGUCAUCACUGCUAUAUAAUAAUUGUGUGCGUGUUUCUAUUGUGGUCUUUAUCCUAGUUAAUUUUGCUACAGUAUUAAAUAAGAAUCUAGGAUUAUUUCUGUUAUCUUUAAUUAGGGUGGAGAGAUACAUUGAUCUAGCAGCACUUAAAGCUUUCCUAUAGCUCAAAAGUCUCUCCUUCCACGCUAUCUGAAAUACUACCGAAUUAGUUUGACGCCAUCUACGUUCUAGUUUUCAAGUGGUCUGUUUUAAAGUUUGUGUGUGAUCAUCAUACCAGGGUGCUAGCUUUUUCUCCCUAAUUAUUUUUUUUUAAAGUGGAGUUACCUUAUCUAGCGAGUUGCAGAACGUUGAUUCUAAGCAGUCAGUUGCCUGGUCAAGUUCUUCGGGAUCAGACGGUGAUCCAAUCAUGGUUGAUAAAUCUGGCAGAUUACUGAUAAAACUGUGCAGUUGUUGACGUGAAAGUACGUUUGACACGGUGACAUGGCAAGGUGCAUAUAUUAUGAUUAAGAUACAUUUUAAAUGAGAUGAGGUAAUGAUCUGAGAUAGCUUCAGACUGUGGAAAUGAGUCUAUAUUUUCUAUAUUUAAUCCGAAUGCUAGUAUUAAAACAUCACAAUCUGGAAUUGAAUUUUGAGCGGGAGCUCAUUCAAGUGGAGUUGUAUAGGCCAAAUUGAAAAUUUCGAAGAAUUGUACAGGGGUGAUCCAUCUGAAUUAAAAUUAAAUGAGAAAUUGUUUGGGUCUGACAGAACUUCACCUGCUUUUGACAACUGUGCACACAUGUCACAAUCAUAUAUGUCAGAGAUGACGUGUUCAAUUGACUUUGACCUUUCAUAUCUGUAGGGUUUAUCAUUUGAAAUGUGAGGAUUUUGUAGUAGUGCCUGGAUUUGAGGUGCAAUUGGUACAUUGAUGAAAAAACUAGCGCUGUUCAGGGUACUGAUUUCUAUGGGAUCACUACACUGGAGCCACUUUGUAAUAAUUUUGUCUAUAACAUUUUGUUGAGUACCAAUGUAUGUUUUACAGGAUUUACAAUAAAAGUGAAAUUCAAGAGUAUUUAUAAGUUUUAACAAAUUGUGUAGUUGAGUCCCUGAAUGUUAUGAAAAAAAGAACUAACCCCCUUUCAUCAAACUGCAUUUUGACAGUUCUAUCGUCCCUCCCCUUUUUAUCCAAUCAGAGCGCACUGUGGCGGAAACUCUCGCCCCCCUUUCGACUGAUGAGAUUCUUCUUUUUUUCCAGAUGUCCCGCCCCGAUCCCCCUCCCUAAUUUUUGUGGGUCUGUUCACACGCAUCUGUGUUCCGUGCGGGGGUCCGUUCACGCGCUUCAACACCCUUUCUCUCUCACCCCCCUCACCCCCGGUCUGGGGUCCGUGCAAGUUAUCAGGCCAGCGCACGAGGUCGGAUUUCAGGCGGCUAGUGUCAUGCCGUUCUGCUCUUAAACUUUAGCUAAUAUUUAAUACAUCUUAGAUAAAUUUGGAUUAAAGCUAGCAAAAAUUCACCAAUUGAAAGAGUUUAGCAAAAAAAAAAACACAGUGCUUAGCAUCAGUUAGGUUAGUCUCGCUAUUUAUAUUUAGCCACGUUUUACCAAGAAACAUAUGGGGAACAUUUAAUGCACAAUGUACAAAUUAUUUAUUUGUUACUGCUGUGUAUAAGUGAUUUAUUUGAAGCUAGUCAAAGUUGAUGGUCAUAGUGAUGAACUUUUUUUUCCCGUGUAUUGUGCGAUUUCGGAUCUUUUAUUAAUACUUUAUUUAUUUAUUUUUGUAACAUAAACGGUAUCCCUGUUAUAUGCAAAAAAUAGAUUUUAAUUUGAGCAUCACAUUUUAUUCUGUUUCCCAGCGCGAUCCUCAUAUUCUGAAAAUAUAUUUUAUCCUCAUACUCUCUUUUGUCAGCUGAAAAUUAUAUUUUAAUUCAUGUACCAGGAUUCAUUCAUUCUGAUUCUCUGCGGCCGCAGAGCACGUGUUGACUGAGGGGUCGCGACAGUCUACCCCUCCACCCUCUAAAGAGACGAUAUGAGGCGUCAGGUGUAUAUGGUUGCUCGAGAACUUGUGACAGGUGUAUCGGUGGGAAAAGAACUUUAGGGUAUAUAAGAAACGAGACAUUCUAACAUUUUCCAUGAAGAAAUUCGGGGAUCAACAUGAUGGCUCAUGGCAAGAAAACUUGUUGAAAUUAUAAGGUAUUUCUUUUCUCUUAAAAACAUUGUUUAAAUAAACACUUUAUGUAUUCUCAGCUUUAAAAGUUCAAGCUGAAAUUCACCAGGUGCCUGAGUAUCAGGGUAAGCUUUUCUAUUAAUUUUUCUUUUAUUUUAACCCUUCUGUACUUUUUUAAAUAUGUUUUUCUCUUUAAUAAUGUUACAGCGGUAGAACUAGAGGGUAUUAGCCUCACUCUGAUGGAUCCAGGUACCGUAUCUCUCUCUGUGUUUUUUUUGUUUUUGGCCUCUGUUAUUUAGUUCUGGUGGAAAGCGACAGUCUCGCCGAUGAUUUGGAUUUGAUUCUAACUGGGGCUUUGGCAGCGAUCUCACGAGAUCGCCGUGUUCAGUCCUCUCCUCCGAGAAGUGGAGAUGGCGUAAUAGAAAUAUCAACAACUCCGAGGGCAGUGAGGCCGCAAGUCGCGAGCGUGACACCCAUCUUAAAAAUCUGUGACGCGCCCCAGCGAGCGAAGAGACGGAGAUUAGUCAGUAAGAGUCCGUCGCUAGUGAAGAGGUUAUUUACAGAUUCAGUCGAAUCACCCACGUGUUCACCCGCGUGUUCAACCAGGGAAGUGGGUCGUGGAUCUCAAUGCGUGAUUAACGAGACCGAAGCGGAGACCGAAUCGGAUAACGGCCCAGAACCGAAUCAGGAAGCAGAGCGAUGACGGAGAGAGCGCCAGAGUCCCACUAGGCCUCUGUUUAAGCGCAGGUUUCCUCAACAACGGUUUAACGCCAACGUCUCUAACCAGGAAGGGAGACCUGAACGGGUCCGUCGGCUGAGAAUAGCGCCACCUCUCCGCCAGCACCGUGACAGCGGAAUCUUGCGGCUCGCCGAAAUAACGAGCGAUUUGAUUCGCGACCUGAUUCGCGACUACAGCGCCACGUUUUCUAACGCGUGUGAAAAAGGUUUUGUGUGAAAGGUUUGAAUGCAUGUCCGUGUCGAGGUAUAUUUUGAUGUUGUGAAUUCAUGUUUUUGAAUGUAUGUUAGCGUCAGGGAAAUAUUUCUGACGUUGUGAAUGCUGGGUUAUAGAUAGGGGAAAAUUAUAUAAUAAAAGUGUGCAAGAAAAAUAAAAAAAUCAUUUAACCCUGA